UACGUAGGGGGCAAGCGUUGUCCGGAUUCAUUGGGCGUAAAGGGUGCGUAGGCGGCGCGGUAAGUCGGGUGUGAAAUCUUGGAGCUUAACUCCGAAACUGCAUUCGAUACUGCCGUGCUUGAGGACUGGAGAGGAGACUGGAAUUUACGGUGUAGCGGUGAAAUGCGUAGAUAUCGUAAGGAAGACCAGUGGCGAAGGCGGGUCUCUGGACAGUUCCUGACGCUGAGGCACGAAGGUCAGGGGAGCAAACGGG
RNAcentral lists this ribosomal RNA (253 nucleotides) under uncultured bacterium. Its description in RNAcentral is "partial 16S ribosomal RNA". It matches the Rfam family "Bacterial small subunit ribosomal RNA", at positions 524 to 776 of the family's 1533-position model. The record is from RNAcentral.